This 1242-nucleotide ribosomal RNA is filed under the name metagenome. Its description in RNAcentral is "bacterial LSU rRNA". It matches the Rfam family "Bacterial large subunit ribosomal RNA", at positions 1564 to 2815 of the family's 2925-position model. The record is from RNAcentral.
UGAAUACGAGAUGCUACGGCGUCGAAGCAGUCUAUGUCAUACUUCCAAGAAAAGCUCGCACUGUCAUAAACAAAUAAUGCCUGUACCAUAACCGACACAGGUGGGUAGGUAGAGUAUACUAAGGGGCGCGAGAUAACUCUCUCUAAGGAACUCGGCAAAAUGACUCCGUAACUUCGGGAGAAGGAGUGCCUUAUUUAUAAGGUUGCAAUAACAAGAUCCAAGCAACUGUUUAUCAAAAACACAGGUCUCCGCUAAGUCGUAAGACGAUGUAUGGGGGCUGACGCCUGCCCAGUGCCAGAAGGUUAAAGAAGUUGGUUAGCAUUCGCGAAGCUGAUGACUGAAGCCCUGGUGAACGGCGGCCGUAACAAUAACGGUCCUAAGGUAGCGAAAUUCCUUGUCGGGUAAGUUCCGACCCGCACGAAAGGCGUAAUGAUUUGGAUACUGUCUCGGAGAGGGGCUCGGUGAAAUAGACUUGUCUGUGAAGAUGCGGACUACCUGCACCAGGACAGAAAGACCCUAUGAAGCUUUACUGUAACUUGAGAUUGAAAUUGGACUUUACUUGCGCAGUAUAGGUGGGAGGCGUUGAUAAUAUUCUUGCGGGAUUAUUUGAGCCAUCAGUGAGAUACCACUCUUGUAAUGUUAGAUUUCUAACUUUGUAUCAUUAUCUGGUCAAAGGACAGUUUCAGGCGGGCAGUUUGACUGGGGCGGUCGCCUCCUAAACGGUAACGGAGGCGCACAAAGGUUUCCUCUGAACGGGUAGAAAUCGUAUCUAGAGUGUAAAGGCAUAAGGAAGCUUGACUGUGAGACCUACAAGUCGAGCAGGGACGAAAGUCGGUCUUAGUGAUCUGACGGUGCUGAGUGGAAAGGCCGUCACUCAACGGAUAAAAGUUACUCUAAGGAUAACAGGCUGAUCUCCCCCAAGAGUUCACAUCGACGGGGAGGUUUGGCACCUCGAUGUCGGCUCAUCGCAUCCUGGGGCGGUAGUACGUCCCAAGGGUUGGGCUGUUCGCCCAUGAAAGCGGUACGCGAGCUGGGUUCAGAACGUCGUGAGACAGUUCGGUCCAUAUCCGGUGUAGGCGUUAGAAUAUUGAGAGGAGCCUUCUUUAGUACGAGAGGACCGAGAAGGACAUACCUCUGGUGUACCAGUUAUCGUGCCAACGGUAAACGCUGGGUAGCUAUGUAUGGAGUGGAUAACCGCUGAAAGCAUCUAAGUGGGAAGCCCACCUCAAGAUAAGUAUUCUC